UUUGAAGGUGGGUCCACUCUUUUGUGGAUAA
RNAcentral lists this non-coding RNA (31 nucleotides) under Homo sapiens (human). The record is from RNAcentral. Lineage: Eukaryota; Metazoa; Chordata; Mammalia; Primates; Hominidae.